UACGGAGAAUGCGAGCGUUAUCCGGAUUUAUUGGGUUUAAAGGGUGCGUAGGCGGGAUGCCAAGUCAGCGGUAAAAAUGCGGUGCUCAACGCCGUCGAGCCGUUGAAACUGGCGUUCUUGAGUGGGCGAGAAGUAUGCGGAAUGCGUGGUGUAGCGGUGAAAUGCAUAGAUAUCACGCAGAACUCCGAUUGCGAAGGCAGCAUACCGGCGCCCUACUGACGCUGAGGCACGAAAGCGUGGGUAUCGAACAGG
This 252-nucleotide ribosomal RNA is filed under the name uncultured bacterium. Its description in RNAcentral is "partial 16S ribosomal RNA". It matches the Rfam family "Bacterial small subunit ribosomal RNA", at positions 524 to 776 of the family's 1533-position model. The record is from RNAcentral.